UGAGUUUGAUUCUGGCUCAGGAUGAACGCUGGCGGUCUGCUUAACACAUGCAAGUCGAACGAACUCUUCGGAGUGAGUGGCGGACGGGUGAGUAACGCGUGAGAAUCUGCCUGUGGGUCGGGGACAACUACUGGAAACGGUGGCUAAUACCGGAUGAGCCGAAAGGUAAAAGAUUUAUUGCCCACAGAUGAGCUCGCGUCUGAUUAGCUAGUUGGUAAGGUAAAAGCGUACCAAGGCGACGAUCAGUAGCUGGUCUGAGAGGAUGAGCAGCCACACUGGGACUGAGACACGGCCCAGACUCCUACGGGAGGCAGCAGUGGGGAAUUUUCCGCAAUGGGCGAAAGCCUGACGGAGCAAGACCGCGUGGGGGAGGAAGGUUUUUGGAUCGUAAACCCCUUUUGUCAAGGAAGAAGCUCUGACGGUACUUGACGAAUAAGCCUC
This 441-nucleotide ribosomal RNA is filed under the name uncultured cyanobacterium. Its description in RNAcentral is "bacterial SSU rRNA". It matches the Rfam family "Bacterial small subunit ribosomal RNA", at positions 1 to 494 of the family's 1533-position model. The record is from RNAcentral. Lineage: Bacteria; Bacillati; Cyanobacteriota.